This 497-nucleotide ribosomal RNA is filed under the name uncultured bacterium. RNAcentral's name for it is "partial 16S ribosomal RNA". It matches the Rfam family "Bacterial small subunit ribosomal RNA", at positions 28 to 507 of the family's 1533-position model. The record is from RNAcentral.
GAUGAACGCUGGCGGCGUGCCUAAUACAUGCAAGUCGAGCGAACAGACGAGGAGCUUGCUCCUCUGACGUUAGCGGCGGACGGGUGAGUAACACGUGGAUAACCUACCUAUAAGACUGGGAUAACUUCGGGAAACCGGAGCUAAUACCGGAUAAGAUAUUGAACCGCAUGGUUCAAUAGUGAAAGACGGUUUUGCUGUCACUUAUAGAUGGAUCCGCGCCGCAUUAGCUAGUUGGUAAGGUAACGGCUUACCAAGGCAACGAUGCGUAGCCGACCUGAGAGGGGGAUCGGCCACACUGGAACUGAGACACGGUCCAGACUCCUACGGGAGGCAGCAGUAGGGAAUCUUCCGCAAUGGGCGAAAGCCUGACGGAGCAACGCCGCGUGAGUGAUGAAGGUCUUCGGAUCGUAAAACUCUGUUAUUAGGGAAGAACAAAUGUGUAAGUAACUAUGCACGUCUUGACGGUACCUAAUCAGAAAGCCACGGCUAACUACGUG